This 497-nucleotide ribosomal RNA is filed under the name uncultured bacterium. Its description in RNAcentral is "partial 16S ribosomal RNA". It matches the Rfam family "Bacterial small subunit ribosomal RNA", at positions 28 to 507 of the family's 1533-position model. The record is from RNAcentral.
GAUGAACGCUGGCGGCGUGCCUAAUACAUGCAAGUCGAGCGAACAGAUGAGGAGCUUGCUCCUCUGACGUUGGCGGCGGACGGGUGAGUAACACGUGGAUAACCUACCUAUAAGACUGGGAUAACUUCGGGAAACCGGAGCUAAUACCGGAUAAUAUAUUGAACCGCAUGGUUCAAUAGUGAAAGACGGUUUUGCUGUCACUUAUAGAUGGAUCCGCGCCGCAUUAGCUAGUUGGUAAGGUAACGGCUUACCAAGGCGACGAUGCGUAGCCGACCUGAGAGGGUGAUCGGCCACACUGGAACUGAGACACGGUCCAGACUCCUACGGGAGGCAGCAGUAGGGAAUCUUCCGCAAUGGGCGAAAGCUUGACGGAGCAACGCCGCGUGAGUGAUGAAGGUCUUCGGAUCGUAAAACUCUGUUAUUAGGGAAGAACAAAUGUGUAAGUAACUAUGCACGUCUUGACGGUACCUAAUCAGAAAGCCACGGCUAACUACGUG